UACGUAGGGGGCAAGCGUUGUCCGGAAUCAUUGGGCGUAAAGAGCUCGUAGGCGGUCUGUCGCGUCUGCUGUGAAAAUCCAGGGCUCAACCCUGGACCUGCAGUGGGUACGGGCAGACUAGAGUGCGGUAGGGGAGAUCGGAAUUCCUGGUGUAGCGGUGAAAUGCGCAGAUAUCAGGAGGAACACCGGUGGCGAAGGCGGAUCUCUGGGCCGUAACUGACGCUGAGGAGCGAAAGCAUGGGGAGCGAACAGG
This 253-nucleotide ribosomal RNA is filed under the name uncultured bacterium. RNAcentral's name for it is "partial 16S ribosomal RNA". It matches the Rfam family "Bacterial small subunit ribosomal RNA", at positions 524 to 776 of the family's 1533-position model. The record is from RNAcentral.